Molecule: ribosomal RNA, 400 nt
Filed under: uncultured bacterium
Lineage: Bacteria
Description: bacterial SSU rRNA
Rfam family: Bacterial small subunit ribosomal RNA
Source: RNAcentral
UGGGGAAUUUUGGACAAUGGGGGCAACCCUGAUCCAGCAAUGCCGCGUGAGUGAAGAAGGCCUUCGGGUUGUAAAGCUCUUUUGUUAGGGAAGAAAAGGUCAUCGAUAAUACCGGUGGCUGAUGACGGUACCUAAAGAAUAAGCACCGGCUAACUACGUGCCAGCAGCCGCGGUAAUACGUAGGGUGCGAGCGUUAAUCGGAAUUACUGGGCGUAAAGCGUGCGCAGGCGGCCUCGCAAGUCAGAUGUGAAAUCCCCGAGCUUAACUUGGGAACUGCAUUUGAAACUACGGGGCUAGAGUGUGUCAGAGGGAGGUAGAAUUCCACGUGUAGCAGUGAAAUGCGUAGAGAUGUGGAGGAAUACCAGUGGCGAAGGCGGCCUCCUGGGAUAACACUGACGCU